UUGGAGGGCAAGUCUGGUGCCAGCAGCCGCGGUAAUUCCAGCUCCAAUAGCGUAUAUUAAAGUUGUUGCAGUUAAAAAGCUCGUAGUUGAAUUUCGGGGUUAGUAGGUUGGUCAUGCCUCCGGUAUGUACUGGUCUCACUGAUUCCUCCUUCCUGAUGAACCGUAAUGCCAUUAAUUUAGUGUUGCGGGGAAUUUGGACUGUUACUUUGAAAAAAUUAGAGUGUUUAAAGCAAGCUAACGCUUGAAUACAUUAGCAUGGAAUAAUGAAAUAGGACGUUCGAUCCUAUUUUGUUGGUUUCUAGGAUUGACGUAAUGAUUAAUAGGGAUAGUUGGGGGCAUUAGUAUUCAAUUGUCAGAGGUGAAAUUCUUGGAUUUAUUGAAGACUAACUACUGCGAAAGCAUUCGCCAAGGAUGUUUUCAUUAAUCAAGAACGAAAGUUAGGGGAUCGAAGACGAUCAGAUACCGCCGUAGUCUUAACCAUAAACUAUGCCGACUAGGGAUCGGAUGAUGUUAAUUUUUUAAUGACUCAUUCGGCACCUUGCAGGAAACCAAAGUGUUUGGGUUC
Molecule: ribosomal RNA, 565 nt
Filed under: uncultured Glomeromycotina
Lineage: Eukaryota; Fungi; Glomeromycota
Description: SSU rRNA
Rfam family: Eukaryotic small subunit ribosomal RNA
Source: RNAcentral